GGCUUAGAGAGCUUCCACGUGAAGAAGUCACCAUGGCAGUGCUAACUAGCAUUCAUAAACAACCUGAAUGAAUCUAGGGUCAAACCACUUUCAUCACUAAAAAUACAGGCACAUUUUUUUUUUUCCAUGUAACAGUGAGGUUUAAAUAAAGAACUAUAUGCAUUCUUCUGUUAUUUCAAGCUUUGGUGAAAGUGAUAAGAAUGGUAAGUUGUGAUUGUUAUCAGGCUGACUAAUUUCUAAUU
Molecule: long non-coding RNA, 242 nt
Filed under: Bos taurus (domestic cattle)
Lineage: Eukaryota; Metazoa; Chordata; Mammalia; Artiodactyla; Bovidae
Description: long non-coding RNA NONBTAT025801
Source: RNAcentral